GUGUUGUUGGGUAGGGGAGCGUUCUGUAAGCCUGUGAAGGUGUACUGUGAGGUAUGCUGGAGGUAUCAGAAGUGCGAAUGCUGACAUAAGUAACGAUAAAGCGGGUGAAAAGCCCGCUCGCCGGAAGACCAAGGGUUCCUGUCCAACGUUAAUCGGGGCAGGGUGAGUCGACCCCUAAGGCGAGGCCGAAAGGCGUAGUCGAUGGGAAACAGGUUAAUAUUCCUGUACUUGGUGUUACUGCGAAGGGGGGACGGAGAAGGCUAUGUUGGCCGGGCGACGGUUGUCCCGGUUUAAGCGUGUAGGCUGGUUUUCCAGGCAAAUCCGGAAAAUCAAGGCUGAGGCGUGAUGACGAGGCACUACGGUGCUGAAGCAACAAAUGCCCUGCUUCCAGGAAAAGCCUCUAAGCAUCAGGUAACAUCAAAUCGUACCCCAAACCGACACAGGUGGUCAGGUAGAGAAUACCAAGGCGCUUGAGAGAACUCGGGUGAAGGAACUAGGCAAAAUGGUGCCGUAACUUCGGGAGAAGGCACGCUGAUAUGUAGGUGAAGUCCCCUCACGG
Molecule: ribosomal RNA, 559 nt
Filed under: Escherichia coli
Lineage: Bacteria; Pseudomonadati; Pseudomonadota; Gammaproteobacteria; Enterobacterales; Enterobacteriaceae
Description: bacterial LSU rRNA
Rfam family: Bacterial large subunit ribosomal RNA
Source: RNAcentral